This 2233-nucleotide ribosomal RNA is filed under the name Klebsiella pneumoniae. Its description in RNAcentral is "partial 23S ribosomal RNA". It matches the Rfam family "Bacterial large subunit ribosomal RNA", at positions 680 to 2925 of the family's 2925-position model. The record is from RNAcentral. Lineage: Bacteria; Pseudomonadati; Pseudomonadota; Gammaproteobacteria; Enterobacterales; Enterobacteriaceae.
AGUCUUAACUGGGCGUUAAGUUGCAGGUAUAGACCCGAAACCCGGUGAUUCAGCCAUGGGCAGGUUGAAGGUUGGGUAACACUAACUGGAGGACCGAACCGACUAAUGUUGAAAAAUUAGCGGAUGACUUGGGGGUGAAAGGCCAAUCAAACCGGGAGAUAGCUGGUUCUCCCGAAAGCUAUUUAGGUAGCGCCUCGUGAACUCAUCUUCGGGGUAGCACUGUUUCGGCUAGGGGGUCAUCCCGACUUACCAACCCGAUGCAAACUACGAAUACCGAAGAAUGUUAUCACGGGAGACACACGGCGGGUGCUAACGUCCGUCGUGAAGAGGGAAACAACCCAGACCGCCAGCUAAGGUCCCAAAGUCAUGGUUAGUGGGAAACGAUGUGGGAAGGCACAGACAGCCGUGAUGUUGGCUUAGAAGCAGCCAUCAUUUAAAGAAAGCGUAAUAGCUCACUGGUCGAGUCGGCCUGCGCGAAGAUGUAACGGGGCUAAACCAUGCACCGAAGCUGCGGCAGCGACACUAUGUGUUGUUGGGUAGGGAGCGUUCUGUAAGCCUGCGAAGGUGUGCUGUGGCAUGCUGGAGGUAUCAGAAGUGCGAAUGCUGACAUAAGUAACGAUAAAGCGGGUGAAAAGCCCGCUCGCCGGAAGACCAAGGGUUCCUGUCCAACGUUAAUCGGGGCAGGGUGGUCGACCCUAAGGCGAGGCCGAAAGGCGUAGUCGAUGGGAAACAGGUUAAUAUUCCUGUACUUGGUGUUACUGCGAAGGGGACGGAGAAGGCUAUGUUAGCCGGGCGACGGUUGUCCCGGUUUAAGCAUGUAGGCUGGUUAUCCGGCAAAUCCGGAUAAUCAAGGCUGAGGUGUGAUGACGAGGCACUACGGUGCUGAAGUAACAAAUGCCCUGCUUCCGGAAAAGCCUCUAAGCAUCAGGUAACAUCAAAUCGUACCCCAAACCGACACAGGUGGUCAGGUAGAGAAUACCAAGGCGCUUGAGAGAACUCGGGUGAAGGAACUAGGCAAAAUGGUGCCGUAACUUCGGGAGAAGGCACGCUGGUGUGGUGAAGUCCCUGCGGAUGGAGCUGAGACCAGUCGAAGAUACCAGCUGGCUGCAACUGUUUAUUAAAAACACAGCACUGUGCAAACACGAAAGUGGACGUAUACGGUGUGACGCCUGCCCGGUGCCGGAAGGUUAAUUGAUGGGGUUAUCCGUAAGGAGAAGCUCUUGAUCGAAGCCCCGGUAAACGGCGGCCGUAACUAUAACGGUCCUAAGGUAGCGAAAUUCCUUGUCGGGUAAGUUCCGACCUGCACGAAUGGCGUAAUGAUGGCGGGCUGUCUCCACCCGAGACUCAGUGAAAUUGAACUCGCUGUGAAGAUGCAGUGUACCCGCGGCAAGACGGAAAGACCCCGUGAACCUUUACUAUAGCUUGACACUGAACAUUGAGCCUUGAUGUGUAGGAUAGGUGGGAGGCUUUGAAGCGUGGACGCCAGUCUGCGUGGAGCCAACCUUGAAAUACCACCCUUUAAUGUUUGAUGUUCUAACGUUGGCCCCUUACCGGGGUUGCGGACAGUGUCUGGUGGGUAGUUUGACUGGGGCGGUCUCUCCCAAAGCGUAACGGAGGAGCACGAAGGUUAGCUAAUCGGUCGGACAUCAGGAGGUUAGUGCAAUGGCAUAAGCUAGCUUGACUGCGAGCGUGACGGCGCGAGCAGGUGCAGCAGGUCAUAGUGAUCCGGUGGUUCUGAAUGGAAGGGCCAUCGCUCAACGGAUAAAAGGUACUCCGGGGAUAACAGGCUGAUACCGCCCAAGAGUUCAUAUCGACGGCGGUGUUUGGCACCUCGAUGUCGGCUCAUCACAUCCACGGGGCUGAAGUAGGUCCCAAGGGUAUGGCUGUUCGCCAUUUAAAGUGGUACGCGAGCUGGGUUUAGAACGUCGUGAGACAGUUCGGUCCCUAUCUGCCGUGGGCGCUGGAGAAUUGAGGGCUGCUCCUAGUACGAGAGGACCGGGUGGACGCAUCACUGGUGUUCGGGUUGUCAUGCCAAUGGCACUGCCCGGUAGCUAAAUGCGGAAGAGAUAAGUGCUGAAAGCAUCUAAGCACGAAACUUGCCCCGAGAUGAGUUCUCCCUGAGACUUUAAGUCUCCUGAAGGAACGUUGAAGACGACGACGUUGAUAGGCCGGGUGUGUAAGCGCAGCGAUGCGUUGAGCUAACCGGUACUAAUGAACCGUGAGGCUUAACCUU